AAGCUGGCUGGUGCUGUGCCUAGAACUCUGGACUGGAAGCCGCCUGGAGAUGGAUCCGGACUUGGAGGAGCCCGUUUAUGGGACCCCAGACCAUGCUGCUGCUCUCACGGAGCUUAUCUUCUCACAGCGGCGGGUGGUAGGGGAAGUACAUGAUGAAAUGAACAGAAAGAUAUUGGGUAAUGAUAAGGGAUGUGAUGAAAAUGAGACUGAGUGAUGUGAGAGAUCAGAGGGCUUCUCGGAGGAGGUGACAUUUGAGGGGCAGGAGGAUGCAGAGAAAAAGUCUAAAGAAGAAUAAAAGAGCGUUGACUGAGGAGCAGGAGAGUUUGCAGAAAAGACUAGAUGAGAAUGAAGACUAAGUGACUUCGAGGGGCUUGGGGAGGGGCUGCUUGAAGAUGUCAAUGUGGGAGAUGCUUCCUGUUGGUGAGAACCAGCAGAGGUGUGAGACCCUCACUGUGCCCAGUGCCAAGCCCCCACAUUGGAAAAACAAUAGAAGGAAUGCAAAAAGGAUCCACAGUCCUGGGAGACCGAGCUAACAGGCCCUGUUUCAUCUUGGACCAUGUGAUGCGGAGGUUCCUGUUUCAGGUGCUGACUUCCUAAUGAGGCCCUGCGUGGAGAGGUGGCCCCGGGAUGCUAUCUAUCACACAGUGAUAAACAAGGCAGCGACUGUUUCCUGUCCUUUUCUGCGACUGAAUCCAGUCUCAUCCGUCCUCCUAGGUGACGACCCAUAGUCAACAUCCUGCUUUUCCCAUUCACGGCUGAAGGAUAAUGAUGCCGGUUUUCAUUGUGCUUUCGGACCUUGGGACAUGAAGGGAUAGGCUUUCUUUCCUGCCAGAGAUAGGGAAAGGGUGGAUGGGAGGGCUUUCCAACAAAUGCUUCACCUUCCUCCAGUUGCAUAGGAGUGGGGAGAGCCGAGGGAAAUGCAGAGAGGCAGCCCUGGGGCUCCUGAAACCAGGCCAAGAGGUGCAUUCAAUCAAGGACUGACAUUUGCCCAUUGACCUCUUAUCGGAGUUGCUAAGUCACUGGGGCCUUUGUGCUGCAGAAUUGGAAAGGAAGGGUUCACCCAGCCCGGCCAAUCCUGUGCCAGCUCUCUGCCCAGGAGCUGGCCAUUAGCAUUUACCUGACAUCUGACUGAUAUCUUCAUUUCACUUUGGUAAACAGGCCACCUCAAGGCCAAGGUGACAGUGACCUCUGGCGCUGCACACCGCACAGGAUUCUCCCUGGGGACCCUGGCGAAGCACUUUCGCAUCGGCAAGAGCUCCUAUUUCCCCUCCCCACCCUCUGAUUAGUGCUGACGAUAAAUAAAUAACCAUCCAACAGAAUAGACAGCGGGCAGGCAAGCUGGACAGAGAAAGAGAAGUGUGGAAGGGCAUGAGGGAGGGUUGGGAGAGGCAGAGGGGGAGUCGGACUUAGAAGGUUGCCUCUGCUGCUCUCCCACUAAGAACAAUGCAGCUGCCCAGGAAACACACCCGAGCUAUGAAUAGGCUCAAGCACACAGGGCGAAGCUGUCGCAUUUCUGCCGUUUAGAAAGGAUCUCUAGUGUGAAGUUGCUUGGAGGCUCUGAUUUUGCAAACCCAAUUAAAUAUAGAUUUCUUUGGGGUGACGGUUGGGAAGGGUGUGGGUGGAAUGUAUGUCUGUGCUGCAAUGCAAUUUAAUCCUGAAAGUUUCAGCAAACCUAUUCACACACUCCAUAAACAUUUCUGAGCACCUGCUGUGUGCCAAGUGCAAGGCACAUCCAGCUGAAGCACACUUUGCCCCCCAAAAACCCAUGGUCCAAUGGAGUUGCAAUGGCUACUACCUACCAGGGUCAGGCAGGCAACAUGAAUGAAUGAAUUAGGGAGGGUGUGGGACAUUAGGGAGCGGUGGGGACUGUGAGAACGAAGUGCAUGUGUCCUCUGUACAGGGACUGGGGAGCUAUUCAGUCUCAGUUGACUGUCCUGUAUUGUGCCUUAUGAUUUUUAAGGGGAAGCCAUAUGUUUGGAAUUGCUUGUGUGUGUGUGUGUGUGUGUGUGUGUGUGUGCGCGUGUGGUUUUUAUUUCUAUUUUUUUUUUCUUUAAACACUGUGUGGGCCAAACAAACCAUGUCUGUAGGCCUAUUGGGACCAGAGAGGAUCUUCUAAUAACAUAUAAUAAGAGUGACAUAGAAGGCAUCCCAGGGGCUAAUGGAAGCCCUAAGUGGGGCAUUUAACCCAGCCAAGGGUGGAGUUGGGAGUAUCUUCCCAGUGCAGGUGAACUGAAUCUUGGAUAAUGUUAGCCUAAAUCAUGGCCUGGUAAAUCAUGAAUGAUGGUGUAAAUGAUUGGAAGAGCCAUUCCAGGCAGAGUAGUAAUUUAGCUGGGCACUUUGCACAUGCCUGCCCAGCUAAAGACUACAUCUCUCAGCCACCCUGGAAACCAAGCAUGGCCACCUGACUCAUGGUAUCUGUCUCAGUCCUUAAAGGGAAGGAGGGUUCCAUUUGUCUGCACACCCCCGC
RNAcentral lists this long non-coding RNA (2467 nucleotides) under Homo sapiens (human). RNAcentral describes it as "HSALNT0098035". Lineage: Eukaryota; Metazoa; Chordata; Mammalia; Primates; Hominidae. The record is from RNAcentral.